This 583-nucleotide ribosomal RNA is filed under the name uncultured bacterium. Its description in RNAcentral is "bacterial SSU rRNA". It matches the Rfam family "Bacterial small subunit ribosomal RNA", at positions 338 to 911 of the family's 1533-position model. The record is from RNAcentral.
CCUACGGGAGGCAGCAGUAGGGAAUCUUCCGCAAUGGACGAAAGUCUGACGGAGCAACGCCGCGUGAGUGAUGAAGGCUUUCGGGUCGUAAAACUCUGUUGUUAGGGAAGAACAAGUGCUAGUUGAAUAAGCUGGCACCUUGACGGUACCUAACCAGAAAGCCACGGCUAACUACGUGCCAGCAGCCGCGGUAAUACGUAGGUGGCAAGCGUUAUCCGGAAUUAUUGGGCGUAAAGCGCGCGCAGGUGGCUUCUUAAGUCUGAUGUGAAAGCCCACGGCUCAACCGUGGAGGGUCAUUGGAAACUGGGAGACUUGAGUGCAGAAGAGGAAAGUGGAAUUCCACGUGUAGCGGUGAAAUGCGUAGAGAUAUGGAGGAACACCAGUGGCGAAGGCGACUUUCUGGUCUGUAACUGACACUGAGGCGCGAAAGCGUGGGGAGCAAACAGGAUUAGAUACCCUGGUAGUCCACGCCGUAAACGAUGAGUGCUAAGUGUUAGAGGGUUUCCGCCCUUUAGUGCUGAAGUUAACGCAUUAAGCACUCCGCCUGGGGAGUACGGCCGCAAGGCUGAAACUCAAAGGAAUU